UGCCAGCCGCCGCGGUAAGACAGAGGGUGCAAACGUUGCUCGGAAUUAUUGGGCGUAAAGCGCGUGUAGGCGGUUCAUCAAGUCGGCUGUGAAAGCCCUCGGCUCAACCGAGGAAGUGCAGCCGAAACUGGUAGACUAGAGUCCCGAAGAGGGUGGUGGAAUGCCCAGUGUAGAGGUGAAAUUCGUAGAUAUUGGGUAGAACACCGGUGGCGAAGGCGACCACCUGGGAGGGUACUGACGCUGAGACGCGAAGGCGUGGGGAGCAAACAGGAUUAGAUA
RNAcentral lists this ribosomal RNA (279 nucleotides) under uncultured bacterium. RNAcentral describes it as "partial 16S ribosomal RNA". It matches the Rfam family "Bacterial small subunit ribosomal RNA", at positions 506 to 784 of the family's 1533-position model. The record is from RNAcentral.